GGAGAUCCUAACAGCCAGUAGUGACUGAAAAGUGGUUUUUGUCGAAGGCUAUCCCUAUACACUCAUUUUUUCUAUGGCUUGCUAUUCAUGGGAGGCUCUCUACUCAGGAUAAACUAGUUCAAGAGGGUACCCUCUCUUCUAUAUAUUGUGUUGUCUGUAGAGACAAUGUUGAAGACCAUGAUCACAUGCCUUGUCCUUUAACCCUUAGCUAGAUUGUUUCUCUC
Molecule: non-coding RNA, 224 nt
Organism: Arachis ipaensis
Lineage: Eukaryota; Viridiplantae; Streptophyta; Magnoliopsida; Fabales; Fabaceae
Source: RefSeq, a predicted model, not a curated record